RNAcentral lists this unclassified non-coding RNA (313 nucleotides) under uncultured Sordariomycetes. RNAcentral's name for it is "sequence contains ITS1". The stretch from base 1 to 105 matches the Rfam family "5.8S ribosomal RNA", at positions 50 to 154 of the family's 154-position model. Lineage: Eukaryota; Fungi; Ascomycota; Sordariomycetes. The record is from RNAcentral.
GAAAUGCGAUAAGUAAUGUGAAUUGCAGAAUUCAGCGAAUCAUCGAAUCUUUGAACGCACAUUGCGCCCAUUAGUAUUCUAUUGGGCAUGCCUGUUCGAGCGUCAUUUCAACCCUCAAGCCUUAGUGCUUGGCGUUGGGGCUUCUCUACAGCUCGCGCUGUAGGCCCCGAAAACCAGUGGCGGGCCCGUCGAGACCCCGAGCGUAGUAGUAUCUCUCAGCGCUCAGGGCGUCCGGCGGGUGCAACCAGCCGUAAACACCCCAAAAUCUAAAAAGGUUGACCUCGGAUCAGGUAGGAAUACCCGCUGAACUUAA